Molecule: ribosomal RNA, 1552 nt
Filed under: Salmonella enterica
Lineage: Bacteria; Pseudomonadati; Pseudomonadota; Gammaproteobacteria; Enterobacterales; Enterobacteriaceae
Description: bacterial SSU rRNA
Rfam family: Bacterial small subunit ribosomal RNA
Source: RNAcentral
AAAUUGAAGAGUUUGAUCAUGGCUCAGAUUGAACGCUGGCGGCAGGCCUAACACAUGCAAGUCGAACGGUAACAGGAAGCAGCUUGCUGCUUCGCUGACGAGUGGCGGACGGGUGAGUAAUGUCUGGGAAACUGCCUGAUGGAGGGGGAUAACUACUGGAAACGGUGGCUAAUACCGCAUAACGUCGCAAGACCAAAGAGGGGGACCUUCGGGCCUCUUGCCAUCAGAUGUGCCCAGAUGGGAUUAGCUUGUUGGUGAGGUAACGGCUCACCAAGGCGACGAUCCCUAGCUGGUCUGAGAGGAUGACCAGCCACACUGGAACUGAGACACGGUCCAGACUCCUACGGGAGGCAGCAGUGGGGAAUAUUGCACAAUGGGCGCAAGCCUGAUGCAGCCAUGCCGCGUGUAUGAAGAAGGCCUUCGGGUUGUAAAGUACUUUCAGCGGGGAGGAAGGUGUUGUGGUUAAUAACCGCAGCAAUUGACGUUACCCGCAGAAGAAGCACCGGCUAACUCCGUGCCAGCAGCCGCGGUAAUACGGAGGGUGCAAGCGUUAAUCGGAAUUACUGGGCGUAAAGCGCACGCAGGCGGUCUGUCAAGUCGGAUGUGAAAUCCCCGGGCUCAACCUGGGAACUGCAUUCGAAACUGGCAGGCUUGAGUCUUGUAGAGGGGGGUAGAAUUCCAGGUGUAGCGGUGAAAUGCGUAGAGAUCUGGAGGAAUACCGGUGGCGAAGGCGGCCCCCGACAAAGACUGACGCUCAGGUGCGAAAGCGUGGGGAGCAAACAGGAUUAGAUACCCUGGUAGUCCACGCCGUAAACGAUGUCUACUUGGAGGUUGUGCCCUUGAGGCGUGGCUUCCGGAGCUAACGCGUUAAGUAGACCGCCUGGGGGAGUACGGCCGCAAGGUUAAAACUCAAAUGAAUUGACGGGGGCCCGCACAAGCGGUGGAGCAUGUGGUUUAAUUCGAUGCAACGCGAAGAACCUUACCUGGUCUUGACAUCCACAGAAGAAUCCAGAGAUGGAUUUGUGCCUUCGGGAACUGUGAGACAGGUGCUGCAUGGCUGUCGUCAGCUCGUGUUGUGAAAUGUUGGGUUAAGUCCCGCAACGAGCGCAACCCUUAUCCUUUGUUGCCAGCGGUUAGGCCGGGAACUCAAAGGAGACUGCCAGUGAUAAACUGGAGGAAGGUGGGGAUGACGUCAAGUCAUCAUGGCCCUUACGACCAGGGCUACACACGUGCUACAAUGGCGCAUACAAAGAGAAGCGACCUCGCGAGAGCAAGCGGACCUCAUAAAGUGCGUCGUAGUCCGGAUUGAGUCUGCAACUCGACUCCAUGAAGUCGGAAUCGCUAGUAAUCGUGGAUCAGAAUGCCACGGUGAAUACGUUCCCGGGCCUUGUACACACCGCCCGUCACACCAUGGGAGUGGGUUGCAAAAGAAGUAGGUAGCUUAACCUUCGGGAGGGCGCUUACCACUUUGUGAUUCAUGACUGGGGUGAAGUCGUAACAAGGUAACCGUAGGGGAACCUGCGGUUGGAUCACCUCCUUACCUUAAAGAAGC